UAAGCCUGUGAAGGUGGCCUGUGAGGGUUGCUGGAGGUAUCAGAAGUGCGAAUGCUGACAUAAGUAACGAUAAAGCGGGUGAAAAGCCCGCUCGCCGGAAGACCAAGGGUUCCUGUCCAACGUUAAUCGGGGCAGGGUGAGUCGACCCCUAAGGCGAGGCCGAAAGGCGUAGUCGAUGGGAAACGGGUUAAUAUUCCCGUACUUGGUGUUACUGCGAAGGGGGGACGGAGAAGGCU
This 236-nucleotide ribosomal RNA is filed under the name Salmonella enterica. Its description in RNAcentral is "partial 23S ribosomal RNA". It matches the Rfam family "Bacterial large subunit ribosomal RNA", at positions 1243 to 1483 of the family's 2925-position model. Lineage: Bacteria; Pseudomonadati; Pseudomonadota; Gammaproteobacteria; Enterobacterales; Enterobacteriaceae. The record is from RNAcentral.